ACGAACCGUCCAAACGUUAUUCGGAAUCACUGGGCUUACAGAGUUCGUAGGCGGUGGAGAAAGUAGGGUGUGAAAGCCCUCGGCCUAACCGAGGAAUUGCGCCCUAAACUACUUCGCUGGAGGAGGAUAGAGGUGAGCAGAACUGAUGGUGGAGCGGUGAAAUGCGUUGAUAUCAUCAGGAAUACCGGAGGCGAAGGCGGCUCACUGGGUCCUUUCUGACGCUGAGGAACGAAAGCUAGGGGAGCGAACGGGA
RNAcentral lists this ribosomal RNA (253 nucleotides) under uncultured prokaryote. RNAcentral's name for it is "partial 16S ribosomal RNA". It matches the Rfam family "Bacterial small subunit ribosomal RNA", at positions 525 to 777 of the family's 1533-position model. The record is from RNAcentral.